UACGUAGGGGGCUAGCGUUGUCCGGAUUUAUUGGGCGUAAAGAGCGUGUAGGCGGCCACGCAGGUCCGUUGUGAAAACUGGAGGCUCAACCUCCAGACGUCGACGGAAACCGUGUGGCUAGAGUCCGGAAGAGGAGAGUGGAAUUCCUGGUGUAGCGGUGAAAUGCGCAGAUAUCAGGAAGAACACCAAUGGCGAAGGCAGCUCUCUGGGACGGUACUGACGCUGAGACGCGAAAGCGUGGGGAGCGAACAGG
Molecule: ribosomal RNA, 253 nt
Filed under: uncultured bacterium
Lineage: Bacteria
Description: partial 16S ribosomal RNA
Rfam family: Bacterial small subunit ribosomal RNA
Source: RNAcentral